AAAAAGGCAAACCCUGGAUUUCCGUGUCCAACGUUUGACUGUCCAUCUUAUAUGAAAUUUUUUUAUAAUUAGUAUUUUCAUUGUUGUUAGAUGAUAAAACAUGAUUAAUAUUUUAUGCAUGACUUGUCUUGUUAAUUUUUUUCAUAUUUUUUUUAAAUAAGAUGAACGGUCAAAAGUUGUACACGGAAACUCAGGGUUUGUCUUUUU
MicroRNA precursor from Oryza sativa Japonica Group (Japanese rice), 207 nucleotides. It matches the Rfam family "MIR812 microRNA precursor family". NCBI's taxonomy places the organism in Eukaryota, Viridiplantae, Streptophyta, Magnoliopsida, Poales, Poaceae. The record is from Rfam.